Rhinopithecus roxellana (golden snub-nosed monkey) is the source of this 1033-nucleotide RNA transcript. It is a transcript of the gene named intraflagellar transport 43, with no coding region annotated. The record is from RefSeq and is a predicted model, not a curated record. The transcript is spliced from 10 exons. NCBI's taxonomy places the organism in Eukaryota, Metazoa, Chordata, Mammalia, Primates, Cercopithecidae.
GGUUUCCAGGAAGUGACGUCAGGCGGCCGCGGAGAUGGAGGAUUUGCUGGACUUGGACGAGGAGCUGCGCUACAGCUUGGCUACCUCCAAGGCCAAGGUGGGUCGCCGAGCUCAACGGGAGUCAGCGCAGGCCGAGAAUCACCUCAAUGGCAAGAAUUCCUCUUUGACUCUGACUGGAGAGACUUCCUCUCCUAAAUUACCUCGCUGCCGAGAGGGAGGCUGGGCAGGUGAUUCCGUGAAGGCUUCGAAGUUUAAGAGGAAGGCUUCUGAAGAAAUAGAAGAUUUUCGCCUCAGACCACAGAGGCAAAAUGGAUCAGAUUAUGGAAGAGAUACUCCUAUCAUUCCGGAUCUGGAGGAAGUACAGGAAGAAGACUUUGUUUUGCAGGUGGCAGCCCCUCCCAGCAUCCAGAUAAAGCGGGUGAUGACCUACCGUGACCUGGACAAUGACCUCAUGAAGUACUCAGCCAUUCAGACGUUGGAUGGGGAGAUCGACCUGAAACUCCUCACCAAAGUGCUGGCGCCAGAGCACGAAGUCCGGGAGGAUGACGUCGGCUGGGACUGGGACCAUCUGUUCACUGAGGUGUCCUCAGAGGUCCUCACUGAGUGGGACCCACUGCAGACGGAGAAGGAGGAUGCUACGGGGCAGGCCAGGCACACCUGAGCCUGUCACCCAUGCUCUAGACAUGAAGAAAUGCAGUGAGCUGAAAGCUAAAGAAGCUUUCCCUUCUUGGAAAAAUGUAUCACAAGUGAAGGAGAACUUUUAAACCAGCUGAUAGGAACUCGAAACUCGGGGCCUUGUUGCGGAGCACGUGGAAGAGUUUGAUUCAGGAGAGGGAGUGGGUACUUCUGCUGAAAGUUGCUCACUUCUCGGAAGGUUGCAAACAGUUGCCCGCUGGGGUUCUGGGGCGGGGCCUCCCUUCCCAUGGGUGCUCUGGGCCCUUUGUUUGUGACCUUAGUGAUGCAGCAUUGCCACCUGCAUCAUAGGCUUCCAGGCAGCUGCUGCAGCAGCAGGAGGAGGCAGCGGGACGGAUAA